This 208-nucleotide long non-coding RNA is filed under the name Elaeis guineensis (African oil palm). RNAcentral describes it as "long non-coding RNA (EGUI_LNC062540)". Lineage: Eukaryota; Viridiplantae; Streptophyta; Magnoliopsida; Arecales; Arecaceae. The record is from RNAcentral.
GCCCCCCACCUUUCCUCCAGGGCCUCCCGACAUCUUUCUUUCACCUGAGAGCUUAGCCACUCAGCCACUCCAUCGGUGCCCCUUUCGACUCCGAGCGUCCUCCGCAUCGGUCCUUGCCAUCUCCGCCGGCUUUCCACCAUUUCCAGUCCUCCGAGUCUCUCCAAGGGGUUCCCCCGUCGGGGCCUCUGCCCCGGAGGCCAAUCUCAAG